CGUCGCCUACGGGGGGCAGCAGUGAGGAAUAUUGGUCAAUGGGCGGAAGCCUGAACCAGCCAAGUCGCGUGAGGGAAGAAGGCCCUGCGGGUCGCAGACCUCUUUGGACGGGGAGCAAGGCCGCCGACGUGUCGGCGGAAGGAGAGUACCCGUAGAACAAGCAUCGGCUAACUCCGUGCCAGCAGCCGCGGUAAUACGGAGGAUGCGAGCGUUAUCCGGAUUUAUUGGGUGUAAAGGGCGUGUAGGCGGGAGCGCAAGUCAGAUGUGAAAACUCAGGGCUCAACCCUGAGCCUGCAUUUGAAACU
RNAcentral lists this ribosomal RNA (305 nucleotides) under uncultured bacterium. Its description in RNAcentral is "bacterial SSU rRNA". It matches the Rfam family "Bacterial small subunit ribosomal RNA", at positions 333 to 634 of the family's 1533-position model. The record is from RNAcentral.